UGGGGAAUUUUGGACAAUGGGCGCAAGCCUGAUCCAGCCAUGCCGCGUGCGGGAAGAAGGCCUUCGGGUUGUAAACCGCUUUUGUCAGGGAAGAAAUCUUCUGAGUUAAUACCUCGGGAGGAUGACGGUACCUGAAGAAUAAGCACCGGCUAACUACGUGCCAGCAGCCGCGGUAAUACGUAGGGUGCAAGCGUUAAUCGGAAUUACUGGGCGUAAAGCGUGCGCAGGCGGUUUUGUAAGACAGAGGUGAAAUCCCCGGGCUCAACCUGGGAACUGCCUUUGUGACUGCAAGGCUUGAGUGCGGCAGAGGGGGGAUGGAAUUCCGCGUGUAGCAGUGAAAUGCGUAGAUAUGCGGAGGAACACCGAUGGCGAAGGCAAUCCCCUGGGCCUGCACUGACGCUCAUGCACGAAAGCGUGGGGAGCAAACAGGAUUAGAUAGCCCUGGUAGUCCACGCCCUAAACGAUGUCAACUGGUUGUUGGGAAGGUUCCUUCUCAGUAACGUAGCUAACGCGUGAAGUUGACCGCCUGGGGAGUACGGCCGCAAGGUUGAAACUCAAAUGAAUUGA
RNAcentral lists this ribosomal RNA (567 nucleotides) under uncultured bacterium. RNAcentral describes it as "partial 16S ribosomal RNA". It matches the Rfam family "Bacterial small subunit ribosomal RNA", at positions 355 to 913 of the family's 1533-position model. The record is from RNAcentral.